Long non-coding RNA from Chinchilla lanigera (long-tailed chinchilla), 1147 nucleotides. RefSeq lists it as uncharacterized. Lineage: Eukaryota; Metazoa; Chordata; Mammalia; Rodentia; Chinchillidae. The transcript is spliced from 3 exons. The record is from RefSeq and is a predicted model, not a curated record.
GGCAUAGGGUUGGAGGUAUCCAGACCCGCCUCGCUGAGGCGCGUAAUCUGUGCCGUUGCUGUGUUGCCCCCUGGAGUGUUAAGAAUGGUGUUUGCAUCUUUGAACCAGUGUCUAAUCAAACCCACACAUUAUGAUUGUCUUCCCAGGACUGCGGGAACAACAGUAGUGACAUAAAGAAUAGCACAGGGAAGAUAAGCCACAUAUACUGGACAUUGCUGCCUCCUUUACCAGCCUUUUUGUGCAUCCUCUCUUUCCUAAUCUCAUUGCUCAGGGGCUCAAGUCCUAGCAUUCUGAAGUCUAUGUUAUCAGUAUAUUAAAACUAUGCUUUCAAGAUAACUAGUGAUCUUAUUAGUCAAUGCCAGUUGUCUUGCUUAGUCCUAAAAGGAAUAUUUGAUAAUUUAUUAUUUUUUACAAUUUUAAAUGUUUAUUGAAAAGCAGCUAUACUUCCACUCCAUGGUAACACAUGAAAACAAAACACAUUGAUUACAAGAGUAUUAAAAUAUAAAAUAGUGAUAAUUUAUUUAAUAAAUAUUUAUUGAAUACCCAUGUUAGGUACUGUGGUAUAUCUUGAUUUGCUCAUGAAUUUAAAAAGACACAGUCUCUGCCCUUACGAAUUUUCUUGUUAGAUAGGAAAAAUUGACAUUGAUCAAUACAAAUUAUUGUAAAAUUACAGCAUAGUCAGUCAGUGCUAAGAAGGCAAAUUUUGAAUAAUGGAAGAACUUGGCAUAGUGUCACUGCACCAAGAACUGAAGGAUAAGUAGGUGAAAGGGUGUAAAAGGUAGAGGGGGGAAAAGCAUAUGUAGAGGUGUGUGAGGGUGAAAGCUUAGAAGUUUUAGGAUAUUGAAAGGGGAUAUUUAAAAAGAUAGGUAGAGGUGAGACUGAGAAGUACACAGGGACCAAAUCAUGCAGGUUAUGUAGGUCAAUGUGAGGGAUUUGGUCUUUACCGUAAAAGCUAAGGAAACAAGUAUUUUAAGCAAGAUUUAGGUGUGUAAUGUGACAUGUUCAGGUCUGCAUUUGAAAUUGUUGUAAUGAGAAUGGAUUUGAGAAGGUCAAGAUUGUAUGUAAAGUCCAAAUGGGAGAUAGUUGUAUAUUCCAGAUGGAAGAUGGUGGUAGCUUAGGCUAGGAUGGUAAUGGCCAGAGAUGUCAA